RNAcentral lists this ribosomal RNA (497 nucleotides) under uncultured bacterium. RNAcentral's name for it is "partial 16S ribosomal RNA". It matches the Rfam family "Bacterial small subunit ribosomal RNA", at positions 28 to 507 of the family's 1533-position model. The record is from RNAcentral.
GAUGAACGCUGGCGGCGUGCCUAAUACAUGCAAGUCGAGCGAACAGACGAGGAGCUUGCUCCUCUGACGUUAGCGGCGGACGGGUGAGUAACACGUGGAUAACCUACCUAUAAGACUGGGAUAACUUCGGGAAACCGGAGCUAAUACCGGAUAAUAUAUUGAACCGCAUGGUUCAAUAGUGAAAUACGGUUUUGCUGUCACUUAUAGAUGGAUCCGCGCCGCAUUAGCUAGUUGGUAAGGUAACGGCUUACGAAGGCGGCGAUGCGUAGCCGACCUGAGAGGGUGAUGCGGCACACUGGAAGUGAGACACGGUACAGACUCCUACGGGAGGCAGAGGUAGGGAAUCUUCGGAAAUGGGCGAAAGCCUGACGGAGCAACGCCGCGUGAGUGAUGAAGGUCUUCGGAUCGUAAAACUCUGUUAUUAGGGAAGAACAAAUGUGUAAGUAACUAUGCACGUCUUGACGGUACCUAAUUAGAAAGCCACGGCUAACUACGUG